GGGAACACAGGUGCUGCAUGGCUGUCGUCAGCUCGUGUCGUGAGAUGUUGGGUUAAGUCCCGCAACGGGCGCAACCCUUGUCAUUAGUUGCCAUCAUUUGGUUGGGGCACUCUAAGUGAGACUGCCGGUGACAAACCGGAGGAAGUGGGGAUGACGUCAAGUCCUCAUGGCCCUUAUGGGUAGGGCUUCACACGUCAUACAAUGGUCGGUACAGAGGGUUGCCAACCCGCGAGGGGGGAGCUAAUCCCACAAAGCCGAUCGUAGUCCGGAUCGCAGUCUGCAACUCGACUGCGUGAAGUCGGAAUCGCUAGUAAUCGUGGAUCAGCAUGUCACGGUGAAUACGUUCCCGGGUCUU
RNAcentral lists this ribosomal RNA (355 nucleotides) under uncultured Rhodocyclaceae bacterium. Its description in RNAcentral is "bacterial SSU rRNA". It matches the Rfam family "Bacterial small subunit ribosomal RNA", at positions 1028 to 1382 of the family's 1533-position model. Lineage: Bacteria; Pseudomonadati; Pseudomonadota; Betaproteobacteria; Rhodocyclales; Rhodocyclaceae. The record is from RNAcentral.